RNAcentral lists this ribosomal RNA (373 nucleotides) under Marinobacterium sp. VKRKHg7. RNAcentral describes it as "bacterial SSU rRNA". It matches the Rfam family "Bacterial small subunit ribosomal RNA", at positions 1137 to 1533 of the family's 1533-position model. The record is from RNAcentral. Lineage: Bacteria; Pseudomonadati; Pseudomonadota; Gammaproteobacteria; Oceanospirillales; Oceanospirillaceae.
UGGGGGUUAGGGUUGCAAAGGAGGAAGGUCUGGAUGAGUCAAGUCAUCAUGGCCUUGAGUAGGGUACACACGGGUACAAUGGCCGGUACAGAGGGCCGGAACUCGCGAGGGUAAGCAAAUCUCAGAAAACCGGUCGUAGUCCGGAUCGCAGUCUGCAACUCGACUGCGUGAAGUCGGAAUCGCUAGUAAUCGCGAAUCAGAAUGUCGCGGUGAAUACGUUCCCGGGCCUUGUACACACCGCCCGUCACACCAUGGGAGUGGGUUGCACCAGAAGUAGCUAGUCUAACCUUCGGGUCCAGAGUUGAUCCUGGUCAGGUGGAUCGUGGAGAGAACACGUGCGACCUACGACGUGUAGAAUCCACCGAACCAUUAA